RNAcentral lists this ribosomal RNA (718 nucleotides) under uncultured Bacteroidota bacterium. RNAcentral's name for it is "bacterial SSU rRNA". It matches the Rfam family "Bacterial small subunit ribosomal RNA", at positions 66 to 786 of the family's 1533-position model. The record is from RNAcentral. Lineage: Bacteria; Pseudomonadati; Bacteroidota.
GGGUAUAGUUCUUCGGAACUAGAGACCGGCGCACGGGUGCGUAACGCGUAUGCAAUCUACCUUUCACAGAGGGAUAGCCCAGAGAAAUUUGGAUUAAUACCUCAUAGUAUAAUGAGUUGGCAUCAACACAUUAUUAAAGUCACAACGGUGAAAGAUGAGCAUGCGUCCCAUUAGCUAGAUGGUAAGGUAACGGCUUACCAUGGCUACGAUGGGUAGGGGUCCUGAGAGGGAGAUCCCCCACACUGGUACUGAGACACGGACCAGACUCCUACGGGAGGCAGCAGUGAGGAAUAUUGGACAAUGGGCGCAAGCCUGAUCCAGCCAUGCCGCGUGCAGGAUGACGGUCCUAUGGAUUGUAAACUGCUUUUGUACAGGAAGAAACACUGGUUCGUGAACCAGCUUGACGGUACUGUAAGAAUAAGGAUCGGCUAACUCCGUGCCAGCAGCCGCGGUAAUACGGAGGAUCCAAGCGUUAUCCGGAAUCAUUGGGUUUAAAGGGUCCGUAGGCGGUUUAGUAAGUCAGUGGUGAAAGCCCAUCGCUCAACGGUGGAACGGCCAUUGAUACUGCUAAACUUGAAUUAUUAGGAAGUAACUAGAAUAUGUAGUGUAGCGGUGAAAUGCUUAGAGAUUACAUGGAAUACCAAUUGCGAAGGCAGGUUACUACUAAUGGAUUGACGCUGAUGGACGAAAGCGUGGGUAGCGAACAGGAUUAGAUACC